RNAcentral lists this unclassified non-coding RNA (978 nucleotides) under Hevea brasiliensis (rubber tree). Lineage: Eukaryota; Viridiplantae; Streptophyta; Magnoliopsida; Malpighiales; Euphorbiaceae. The record is from RNAcentral.
AGGGAAACCUCAAGCAAAGCUUUCUUCCAACUUGUUAUCGAGAAUUUCCGCAACUAACAUGUACUUACUUUCCCUGACCUGUACAACAUGAUUUGGAGGUAGGAGACUAUUCUGGCUUGCCGUCGCCACUUCUCAAAACCCAUGCUGAUUUUUCUGAAUGACAUAGUUCCUUCAUAACCUUUAGAAACUCAACAUUGGUAAUAUCCCUAUUCAGUUGCAACUUGGCAGCUUCAGUUACAGAUGCUUUCUUUAGCUUGGCACUUGGUCCUUCAGCCAUAAAAAGAUCAAUUACGAUUUUCCUCAAUGUGUCAUACUGUGGAUUAUCUGGUGACGACUUCAAAACAUAGACACCAUGGAUGUUCACAGCAACCUGAUUAAUCACUGCCUGUAUCUCCUCUUGAGGUGCAUCAAAAACAUCAACGGAUGCAGUUAUAGCUUUCCUUGGAGCUCCCUUUGGAGGAUAUGACUUAGAAACUCCAAGUUUUCGCAGACCUUGGCGGAUUUGUUGGAAACUGCAAACCUUAUAAGUUCUAAAAACUUCUUGAAGUGCCUUUGGCAAAGCUUCUCGAAUUUCUUCGGACAUAGAUGUUCUCAAAAGUGAGCUAGAAGUGGGCUUAUCACCACUCGGCAAUGCAGUAAUGUCGGCAUUACGGUUUAUAGGAUUCUUCAUAGUAGGCCUGGUUCUUCCUCCAGGCAAAACAUCAUUGAUCUGUUUUCCCAAGCACUCCCAGGUAGCUUGCUGCUCUCUCACUACAUCACCAUAAAGGUUUUCAAAUUUCUUGUCAGGAUGCUCUUUGAGCUUCCAAUCAUUCAGGUCAGGCCUCUCGACAGCUAAUGAUUUUAGUGCUGGUGUCGCAGCUUUAAGGAAUUCAGGUCUCCUGCCAAAAACUGACUUUUUAAUUAAGAUACCCUUGGUAAACUCGUACAGAACGAAAUUCCUCGCUAAAACUUCAACUCCACUAUUCGUUCCAUAGACUA